GCAGGGUGUGGUGGCUCAUGCCUGUAAUCCAAGAUACUUGGGAGGCUGAGGCAGAAGAAUUGCUCGAGCCCAGGAGGCUGAGGUUGCAGUGAGCCGAGAUCCUGCCACUGCAUUUCAGCCUGGGCGACAGAGUGAGACUCUGUCUCAA
RNAcentral lists this signal recognition particle RNA (148 nucleotides) under Homo sapiens (human). RNAcentral describes it as "Metazoan signal recognition particle RNA". It matches the Rfam family "Metazoan signal recognition particle RNA". From Rfam's summary of the family: The signal recognition particle (SRP) is a universally conserved ribonucleoprotein. It is involved in the co-translational targeting of proteins to membranes. The record is from Rfam by way of RNAcentral. Lineage: Eukaryota; Metazoa; Chordata; Mammalia; Primates; Hominidae.